Long non-coding RNA from Rosa rugosa (rugosa rose), 1185 nucleotides. RefSeq lists it as uncharacterized. The transcript has 3 exons. The record is from RefSeq and is a predicted model, not a curated record. Lineage: Eukaryota; Viridiplantae; Streptophyta; Magnoliopsida; Rosales; Rosaceae.
CCAUUUUCAUCCUUACUCACUAUCUCUAACAAAACUGGAGACCCAUCUCUCCGACUUUUCCUCAAAACCCUAGCCCACUCCUCCUUCCUCUUCCGCUCUCUUUUCACGGCCACCACCACCUCCUUCUCCUCCGCUCACUCCCUCUACUAUCUCUCCAGCGGCAUCGCCUCAGCUGGCAAGCUCGCUCUCUCUCUCUCUCUAAAACCCUCUCCGUCUCUCUCUGGGAUUGACGAAGAUGAAGUCUAUGCCACACAACAAUUUCUCAUGGACACAAUGGAGCCUCCCCAGUCGCCAAACCUAGCCCCGGCAAGCCUCCAAGGAGAAAAGCGCCUGCACCUUCAGAUCUAACUAUACGGCCUUGGAUUCGAAGCCUUCGUCGGCAACUAAGUUGAAGAGUCUGUUGCCGCCACAGCCGCCGCCGUCAAAUCCUCUCAAACAGAAGCUUGGGAAAGACUGGGUAUUCACAUUUUUUCAACCUUUCAAGAGAGACAACUCUCAGGCCAAGCGGUCUAGCAUUUUCGAACUCUCGCGCCGCGCGGUGCUUUCUCAUUUUUGCUUGGCAUACUUGAUCAUAUUGCUUUGUCUGCUGGUAUUCGGGAUCAUUGCUGGUGCUAUUCACAUGCCUAUCCUGGCGUUUAACAUCAUCUAUGGUGUUCUUGUGGCUUUUGGAACUGGUAUUACCGUUGGACUUAUCUUGUCAUGCUGCUUUGUGGUGGGAGUUGUGCAGGGGGAGAACAUGAUUGCCAAGAAUGUGGCUCUUGGCAACCGUCCUGCUCAUUAAUUAGGUAAGCUUGUAAAUACUAAAUAGUAACAAGAUGUAGCAUGCAGUAGAACUUUGUUAUGGGAUCUGGAUGAUGUUUGGCUCAUCAUUGUUUUGUUGAGGGCACUCACUUCAUAGUCGCAAACCAUAACCUGACGGUGGUCGCAGCAGACGCAGCGUACACCGCGCCAAUCUCAACACCCUACAUCACAAUAUCUCCUGGACAAACCAUUGAUGCCCUGUCGUUCACAGACCAACAACCUGGUCGUUAUUACAUGGCUGCUAGGGCAUACCAAGGUAACCUAGCGAUUAGUUUUGACAACACCACAACCACAUCAAUAGUUGAAUACAAAGAUGGCAAUGGAAAUGGUAAAACUGCUCCAUUAUCAAUAAUUGAAUACAAAGAUGGCAGUGGAAAUGGUAAA